GUGCCAGCAGCCGCGGUAAUACGUAGGUGGCGAGCGUUGUCCGGAUUUAUUGGGUUUAAAGGGUGCGUAGGCGGCCCUAUAAGUCAGUGGUGAAAUAUCGCAGCUUAACUGUGAGGGUGCCAUUGAUACUGUAGGGCUUGAGUGAAUUUGAGGUAGGCGGAAUUGACGGUGUAGCGGUGAAAUGCUUAGAUAUCGUCAAGAACACCGAUAGUGAAGACAGCUUACCAAGCUUCAACUGACGCUGAGGCACGAAAGUGUGGGGAUCAAACAGGAUUAGAUACCCUGGUAGUCC
RNAcentral lists this ribosomal RNA (292 nucleotides) under uncultured bacterium. RNAcentral describes it as "partial 16S ribosomal RNA". It matches the Rfam family "Bacterial small subunit ribosomal RNA", at positions 505 to 796 of the family's 1533-position model. The record is from RNAcentral.